This 1832-nucleotide long non-coding RNA is filed under the name Homo sapiens (human). RNAcentral's name for it is "HSALNT0323766". Lineage: Eukaryota; Metazoa; Chordata; Mammalia; Primates; Hominidae. The record is from RNAcentral.
GCUGGGGUUCCCUUCCACGCUGUGGGAGGUUUGUUCUUUCGCUCUUUGCAAUAAUUCUUGCUGCUGCUCACUCCUUGGGUCCACACUGCCUUUAUGAGCUGUAACACUCACUGUGAAGGUCUGCAGCUUCAGUCCUGAAGCCAGCGAGACCACGAGCCCACCAGAAGGAACGAACGACUGCAGACGUGCCGCCUUAAGAGCUAUAACACUCACCUCGAAGAUCCGCAGCUUCACUCCUGAGCCAGCGAGACCAAGAACCCACCAGAAGGAAGAAACUGCCAACACAUCCGAACAUCAGAAGGAACGAGCUCCAGACACGCAGCCUUUAAGAACUGUAACACUCACUGCGAGGGUUCGCGGCUUCAUUCUUGAAGUCAGUGAGACCAAGAACCCACCAAUUCCGGACCCACUGGCAUUACAGGCGUGAAUCACUGUGUCUGGCCAAAAAGGAUCUAAUCUUAUAGCAGUGGAAUGAGGGGGAAGCCCAGCAAGGCCCAUCUGUUUGGAGUCUUCCUGGACUUCUGGGGCCUGACCCUUUUGGAACGGGGGUUUUAAGAUUCAUAAUCGACAAAGUUGUUCCUACUUUGGCCAUUGGAGCUCUUUCCAGUUAGCUUCUCUUCCUUGGACAGCUUCCAUACGUUUUUGAGCACUUCCUUAUUUCUGACACCAGAAGAUGACUCAGGCUUGACUUGUAUUCUCCCCGUCCAACAAUGGAAUCUGCCAUUUCUCCAAGGAGCCCUGAUUCCUUUUAUUUGAGCGUGGUACAUAGAAGCUGAGCAACUUUUUCUCUCUUUCUAAUAAAUGCUAAUUCAGGAAAAAUAAAAAACUUAUAAAACAAAACUUCUCCUCUCAAAAUAAAAAUAAUUUUACGCAGUCCCAUAAGAGAAUACACAUUUUAAAAAUAUGUACAGCCUAUGCAAUUGACUAGAAUAGUGUUGGUGAGAACAUUCACACUGGCUUUAAUUAAAAAUUAAUGGUUAAUAUUUUUGCACUUUUAUGAAGCAACAGAAAUCUGAUCUUUAGUACUGAGAUAAAGUUUUUGUGUUUGAUGCAGUUUGCCCACCCAAACUAUCUGCGGGCUACAGUUUGCCCAUUUCUAUUCUAGAUUGCUGUUGGGGUAGAUUAGAAUUGUUGAGCGAAUUGACUAAAUUGCUCCAGUCUUUUUGAAAGGCCCAGUUGUCCCUUUGAAAUAUUUAUGGGUUUUUGAAUAAAGGUAGAAAUUAACCCUCCCACUCUUAAAACUUGAAACUUAUAUGUGUCUCAUCUGAGUGGUUUCCUCAGGAAACAGACCCUCACGCAAGGGACUGAAACUCACCAGAUCACCAUAUCCAGACCAUGAGAUCUAAGGUCUCUUACCCAUCGUGAUUGCUCCCUUACCCCUCCCUCAUUCCUGUAUUCCUGCAUGUAGUGACAUCCCUUCUCUGCUAUGUAAGCCCCAAAUUUUAGUGGGUCAAGGAAAAGGAUUUGAGACUUAUCUCCUGUUCUUCUUGACUGCAGCUCACAAAUAAAGUCUUCUUUCCUGGCAAUACUUCUUGUAUCAGGCAUUGGCAUUCUGUAUGGUGAGCAAUGGGAUCUAGACCAAACCCCUGGCAUUUGGUAACAAUUUAAUUUCAUGUCACUGGGUCAUCAUUAUAUAACUUGAGUAAUAGGUGGCAUCAUCUACCUCCUUUUCCUCCUCUUUCUUCUUCCUCUUCCUCUUCCUCUUCUUCUUCUUCCUCUUCUUCUUCUUUCUUUCUUCUCCCUCUCCCUCUCCCUCUCCCCAGUCCCUCAGGAUGUAAAUCAAGCUCUUCACUUGGGAGAGUGGUCAGGAUGAUAGAGCCCAUGGAUUUUCU